GGCGAGGGCCGCGGGAUGGAGGGAGUCCGCGGGGGGGGAUCUCGGGGGCGGGGGGUGGGCACGCCCGGUGCACGUGGGCUAGGAUGAACUGAUCGUCGUGCCCCCCCCCACCCGCUGUCAUAAUCCCAGCUAUUUGGGGCUGAAAGGACAAGCUGUUCCUUCUUGUAGAGGUGGAAGCGGUGCAGAGAAGGACGACCAGAAUGAGCAGCUCCUGCAGUCUAGCCUGCCAGCCUCUCCUUUGGACAGGGAACAUCGGACCCACCUGCCUCCUGGGCUUCUGCAGCAACCAUUUAACCAAACUAAUGAGUAUUACUUAUUCUGGAGUGUUUUAUAGAUACCAGCAGCAGAAACACUUGACCUGGAGAUAAGCCUGCAGAUCACACUGCUGCUACAGACGGAGGAGCACGGCUGGUUCGAAAAGGUUGGCAACCCCAUUUUACAGAUGGGCCGCACAGUGAGGUGCGUUGCGCAGGUGCUGCUUGAUUAAUCACGGGGGAUGGCUUAAUACAAUUAACAUGUCCUGCUGUUUUUAAUAACGCUUUAAUAAUAACGUUUUCUGUUUUUCUUGUCUUUAAUCCGGAGCGACUCCGCAAUGGCCUUCCAAGAAGCCAACUUCAAAA
This is a long non-coding RNA of Hemicordylus capensis (graceful crag lizard), 620 nucleotides long. RefSeq lists it as uncharacterized. The transcript has 3 exons. NCBI's taxonomy places the organism in Eukaryota, Metazoa, Chordata, Lepidosauria, Squamata, Cordylidae. The record is from RefSeq and is a predicted model, not a curated record.